GUGGGAAUGCAAACAGGUGCAGCCACUGUGGAAAACAGUAUGGAGGUUCCUCAAAAAAUGGGAAACAGAAUUACCACAUGAACCAGCAAUUUCAUUUCUG
Long non-coding RNA from Mustela erminea (ermine), 100 nucleotides. RefSeq lists it as uncharacterized. The transcript is spliced from 3 exons. The record is from RefSeq and is a predicted model, not a curated record. Lineage: Eukaryota; Metazoa; Chordata; Mammalia; Carnivora; Mustelidae.